Molecule: ribosomal RNA, 431 nt
Filed under: uncultured bacterium
Lineage: Bacteria
Description: bacterial SSU rRNA
Rfam family: Bacterial small subunit ribosomal RNA
Source: RNAcentral
GGACCCGCACAAGUAGUGGAGCAUGUGGUUUAAUUCGAAGAUACGCGCAGAACCUUACCAACACUUGACAUGUUCGUCGCGACUCUAAGAGAUUAGUUUCUUCAGUUCGGCUGGACGAAACACAGGUGCUGCAUGGCUGUCGUCAGCUCGUGUCGUGAGAUGUUGGGUUAAGUCCCGCAACGAGCGCAACCCUCACUUUUAGUUGCCAUCAUUUAGUUGGGCACUCUAAGGAGACUCCCGGUGUUAAACCGGCGGAAGAUGGGGAUGACGUCAAGUCCUCAUGGCCCUUACGGCUGGGGCUACACACGUACUACAAUGGCAACUACAAAGAGCAGCGAAGUCGCGAGGCCAAGCAAAUCUCAAAAAAGUUGCCUCAGUUCGGAUUGGAGUCUGCAACUCGAGAACAUGAAGUCGGAAUCGCUAGUAAUCGU